UACAGAGGGGGCAAGCGUUGUUCGGAAUUACUGGGCGUAAAGGGCGCGUAGGCGGCCUGUUAAGUCGGACGUGAAAUCCCCGGGCUCAACCCGGGAACUGCGUCCGAUACUGGCAGGCUUGAAUCCGGGAGAGGGAUGUGGAAUUCCAGGUGUAGCGGUGAAAUGCGUAGAUAUCAGGAGGAACACCUGUGGCGAAAGCGGCGCACUGGACCACAACUGACGCUGAGGCGCGAAAGCUAGGGGAGCAAACAGG
This 253-nucleotide ribosomal RNA is filed under the name uncultured bacterium. Its description in RNAcentral is "partial 16S ribosomal RNA". It matches the Rfam family "Bacterial small subunit ribosomal RNA", at positions 524 to 776 of the family's 1533-position model. The record is from RNAcentral.